RNAcentral lists this ribosomal RNA (496 nucleotides) under uncultured bacterium. RNAcentral describes it as "partial 16S ribosomal RNA". It matches the Rfam family "Bacterial small subunit ribosomal RNA", at positions 29 to 507 of the family's 1533-position model. The record is from RNAcentral.
AUGAACGCUGGCGGCGUGCCUAAUACAUGCAAGUCGAGCGAACAGACGAGGAGCUUGCUCCUCUGACGUUAGCGGCGGACGGGUGAGUAACACGUGGAUAACCUACCUAUAAGACUGGGAUAACUUCGGGAAACCGGAGCUAAUACCGGAUAAUAUAUUGAACCGCAUGGUUCAAUAGUGAAAGACGGUUUUGCUGUCACUUAUAGAUGGAUCCGCGCCGCAUUAGCUAGUUGGUAAGGUAACGGCUUACCAAGGCAACGAUGCGUAGCCGACCUGAGAGGGUGAUCGGCCACACUGGAACUGAGACACGGUCCCGACUCCUACGGGAGGCAGCAGUAGGGAAUCUUCCGCAAUGGGCGAAAGCUUGACGGAGCAACGCCGCGUGAGUGAUGAAGGUCUUCGGAUCGUAAAACUCUGUUAUUAGGGAAGAACAAAUGUGUAAGUAACUAUGCACGUCUUGACGGUACCUAAUCAGAAAGCCACGGCUAACUACGUG